RNAcentral lists this long non-coding RNA (1000 nucleotides) under Setaria italica (foxtail millet). Its description in RNAcentral is "long non-coding RNA (SITA_LNC006500)". Lineage: Eukaryota; Viridiplantae; Streptophyta; Magnoliopsida; Poales; Poaceae. The record is from RNAcentral.
CGGUCCCAAAUCCUUCUCCGUGAGGAUCCACCCCUGAUGGUUGCCGCGUGGUCACGGAUCUGACGUAGUGACGCCCGCCUAGCUCUCAGCUUGACGACUCGGUUUCAUCGCACAGGGAUGGACAUGGACGGGGUUCGCUCGGCCAGACUCGAGAGCCGCUUGCAUCUCGUCGGAGGCAACACCGCCGCCUUGGUUUGCCAGAGUCGCCUCACCUAUUAGCGCGUUUCCCUCGUCCGGCCACGCCAAGCUCCACCUCCACACCCCUGCUCCUUCGCCGCUGUCGUGUUCAUUAUCCUCCGCCAUCUUCGAAGCCGUCGUGGUCCGCCAUAGAUACCACCUGCCCCCUCGUAUAGUCGUAUGGUCGUGUCAAGAGACACCUCCACUUCCCUCCUCUCGUCUGGCACCAUACCCUCCUCGCCACAUCAAGAUUCAAGAGGUACGUAAGGUUGAGCAAUUUGUUAGGUUCUCCAACUAUUCAAUCCCUAUUCUUGCUAUUCAAUUCAGUUAACUCAAUACAAUCUGUCAGUUAACUCCAUGCAAAAUUUUUUGUCAUUUGCCUAUAAAUGCUCCUCCCUGUUAAAGGGGAACUUCGACUUGUUCUGCAUCGAAUCAUUGAACUGGUAAAUCCUAGAGUAGAUAACAGUAGUCUUGCCGUUUGUUUUCCCCCUCUUUGCUUUAUUCAUGACACAAUUGAUGUUAUCUUGAGUUGAUGCAGACCAGAGACAGGUCGAUGAGCAAACUGUGCACACACGGGUUGAUUAGCAACUGCUGCUUAUGUUUUCAUGGGAUUGAAUGCAGGACUGUUGCAUGUGCAAUUGCAUGCUUAUGCUUUCUUGGGUUUGGAAGGCAGGUCUAUUGUUGGAUGUAGGUUAUGGAUUUUCCUUUAUAGUCGAUUUUGCAAAUGGCAUUUAUAUUGUUGCAUAUUGAUCAAGUACGUAUUGUUUUAUGAGCGUUGCUUGAGCUUUUAUCUUAGAGCAGGAUUUGAUUUUUUGCAUAUCCG